RNAcentral lists this ribosomal RNA (468 nucleotides) under uncultured bacterium. RNAcentral describes it as "partial 16S ribosomal RNA". It matches the Rfam family "Bacterial small subunit ribosomal RNA", at positions 28 to 507 of the family's 1533-position model. The record is from RNAcentral.
GACGAACGCUGGCGGCGUGCUUAACACAUGCAAGUCGAACGGAAAGGCCCUGCUUUUGUGGGGCGCUCGAGUGGCGAACGGGUGAGUAACACGUGAGUAACCUGCCCUUGACUUUGGGAUAACUUCAGGAAACUGGGGCUAAUACCGGAUAGGAGCUCCUGCUGCAUGGUGGGGGUUGGAAAGUUUCGGCGGUUGGGGAUGGACUCGCGGCUUAUCGGCUUGUUGGUGGGGUAGUGGCUUACCAAGGCUUUGACGGGUAGCCGGCCUGAGAGGGUGACCGGCCACAUUGGGACUGAGAUACGGCCCAGACUCCUACGGGAGGCAGCAGUGGGGAAUAUUGCACAAUGGGCGGAAGCCUGAUGCAGCAACGCCGCGUGCGGGAUGACGGCCUUCGGGUUGUAAACCGCUUUCGCCUGUGACGAAGCGUGAGUGACGGUAAUGGGUAAAGAAGCACCGGCUAACUACGUG